UGGUUGGAUCCCUGCUUGGGCAGCGACGUCCGUCCGCGCGAGUCCCUUCAGUCGUCGGCCCAAGAGCGAGUUGGCCUUGGCCGCGUGCGGGUUUCCUGUGCUGCGUACCUACCGAACGGAAUUCGUGCGGCGCAUCGUCCACCGUUCGCCUUGUGCUGCGCCCCCUCGGGGGUGCGGCGCGGGGUGAACCCCGAAGCGAUUCUCGCGUUCCUCGCCGGCCACGAAGCGUGCCGUCGGCUAGGCCCGUGAGUUAUCGCUUGGGCUCUCGGAUGCGGAACACUCGGUGGGCGGGGGGCCGCCGGCCUCCCUUUGCCCGAAUGAAGCGUUUAUUCGCUCGUUACCGAACGACUGCCGUCGUUGCUUCGGGCGUCGUUCGAUCCUUCGGGUUCGACGUGCCCGUGCGGCGCCGGCGUCGGUGAGGAAUGCUACCUGGUUGAUCCUGCCAGUAGUC
Molecule: unclassified non-coding RNA, 451 nt
Filed under: Guettarda speciosa
Lineage: Eukaryota; Viridiplantae; Streptophyta; Magnoliopsida; Gentianales; Rubiaceae
Description: partial external transcribed spacer
Source: RNAcentral